Molecule: microRNA precursor, 121 nt
Organism: Cajanus cajan (pigeon pea)
Lineage: Eukaryota; Viridiplantae; Streptophyta; Magnoliopsida; Fabales; Fabaceae
Source: Rfam
AAAGUUGAAUGAAGCCAAGGAUGACUUGCCGGCAUUAAUUUGCUACGAAGUUAGCAAGUUAGCUAAUCUUUAUUUGUUGAGUUUUCCCGGCGGGUCAUCCUGUGGCUAUGUUUGAUUUUCU